GUAGCUAACUGCGUAGGGCACUAAAAGGGGGUCAUGUUGUAAAUUAAGGAAAGCCAGGGCAGAAGGAUUUGGGUGUUUUGGUGAGAAAAUUUAGGAAGAGAGUUAUGAGGGACAUCUCCAUGUGGUCACUAACUCAGCUCAGAUCUAAUGCAGCGAUCCAACCCCGGUUCCUUCUGCUGGCCUAAUAACUUCAACGCUGCUUUUUCUCUCCAGUCUCAUGUGCACCUCACGAGAUGUGCGCUCAAAUUUGUUUCCACAUACUAGCGGCAGAAAAAAGAACACAAAACUCUAGCACUUACUUCUCCCUCCAUCUCUACUCGGUAUGGUCCCCUCUGUGUCAGACAUUUUUCACAGUGACAAUUUGAUUGGACCUAGAGUUUUUAAGUUCAGAUGCAGGUACCCUAAAUUCAGUUGCCUCCGUGGCUGGAAUGACCACAUCCCCGCUCUACCUAGAACACUCUUUGCUCAUGAGUUUGGGGAAGUAACCAAACCAGCCCACCAGACCAUGCUAAACAAACAACCCAAGGGAAGGGCCAGGCUUCCUGGAAGGCUAAAGGGCUUGCACUGAUGCCCGCCUUUAAUCGCGUUUGAGCCAUUUAAACCACAUGAUGGCAAGCUUCCGCUGCCCCUCCCCUACAGCCCAGCCUCCCGCUUUUUCUCUUGCUGUGCUUCCUCAUCUCAUGACGCUGGCAAACCUUCAGGCUGCUUAUUCAACCUGUCGCAAGACACUCUCUGUGCCAAAGAAAAAGAAAGAGAAUGAAGGGGCCCUGUGCUGGCUCCAGGGCACUGGCUGCCAGGCUAGCCCAGGAUGAUGCAGCCCAAGGCCCCAUCAAUAGCUGGAGGCAAGCAACACAAACGAGCCUUCUGAUUCAAAGUCUGCACCUAAGG
This 888-nucleotide long non-coding RNA is filed under the name Mus musculus (house mouse). RNAcentral's name for it is "long non-coding RNA chr2:11332825-11333713". Lineage: Eukaryota; Metazoa; Chordata; Mammalia; Rodentia; Muridae. The record is from RNAcentral.